This 19-nucleotide small nuclear RNA is filed under the name Arabidopsis thaliana (thale cress). RNAcentral's name for it is "snRNA_07672". Lineage: Eukaryota; Viridiplantae; Streptophyta; Magnoliopsida; Brassicales; Brassicaceae. The record is from RNAcentral.
UAAACCCGUAAGGCGCAAG